RNAcentral lists this long non-coding RNA (1755 nucleotides) under Homo sapiens (human). RNAcentral describes it as "HSALNT0236214". Lineage: Eukaryota; Metazoa; Chordata; Mammalia; Primates; Hominidae. The record is from RNAcentral.
UUUUAUUUGCGAAAUCUGGCAGCCUUGCCCGUUCUUCCGUAGCAGUUCCAGACAGCCACGGCCACCUGGUCCUGGUCCUCGGGAGUACCGACACAACUGCCACCCUAAAGGGCACCAGGAACUCUACCUCCAUCAGCUCGCAGAUGGUCACCGUGGCAGCUGUCUCUAAGGAGGGUGUUCACUCCUCUUCCACAGAUGACAAAACUGAGACUCCAAGAAGCCAAGUGACUUGUGUAAGGACAAACGGUAACCAAGGCGCAGGGGAAGCAGCCAGCCUUUGCCAGUCUGACUCCAAAGUUCAAGUUCUAUGUACACCCCAGGUAGCUUGGCAAACCACCCACUUCUCGAACAGGAAGGCCUCAACCCUGCCGUUCACAAAGGAGGAAAAAGACAGUGUGUGCAGGCCCCCAGGCACAGGACAGACAAGAUUCGGUGCUAGAAUAUUCAAAGUGAUUUUGAAACCCAGCGCCUCUUAGUAAUAACAAUACCAGUUUCGGUCAUUUGCAUAACUUUCUACCGUUAACAAAAGGUAUCCCCAGCAGUUAAUUACAAUGACAAAGAAGGCACAAGGAGGCCGGGGCGGUGGUUCACGCCUGUAAUCCCAGCACUUUGGGAGGCCGAGGCAAGUGGAUCACCUGAGGUUAGGAGCUCAGCCUGGCCAACAUGGUGAAACCCCAUCUCUACUAAAAGUACAAAAAAUUAGCCGGGUGUGGUGGCACAUGCCUGUAAUCUCAGCUACUCGGGAGCUGAGGCAGGAGAAUCGCUGCAAUCCGGGAGGCGGAGGUUGCAGUGAGCUGAGAUCGCGCCACUGCACUCCAGCCUGGGCAACAAGAGCGAGACUCCGUCUCAAAAAACAAAACAAAACAAACAAACAAAAAAAGAAGGCAGAUGGGAGAGAGAAUGGUCUGUAGGAUCCCUCUGCAGACCCUGGGACGUUUCCUGUGCUCCCACUGGACAUGGCUGGGGUGGGUGGGUGGGUGCUGGGCAGAUCCUUCUGGGCCAACUUCCAGGAGCUUCUAGAUGAGGGUCCUGAAGUCACAGGCUCUGAGCGUGGGUCUGGGCAGCGCACAGAGGGCUUGGGUCCCAGUGGCCAGUUCCAGCUCUGCCUGCAGGACCCCAGUGUUGGCGAACAUGCCAUCGGUUACAGUUCCUGACACCACCUGCUGGACUGGAUUCCAGGCGGUGUAAACCAGUCUCUGCUCUCAGGGAGGGUCUGAAAGACGACGGAUCCUUUGAGGGAGGGAACUGGGAGCCCAGGCCCUCAAGAUGGGUUAGGAGUAAACUGGAGGGGAGGGGCUUGGGACACCUGCCGGGGGAGUCCAGGGUGGGGUAAGACGCUGGAGAAAAUAUGAUCAAAAUGAGACUUAUGUAAAUCAAAUCUCGUUUGGUUGCAGAUCUUUUACUGCUGUUUUGAUCUGCCAUUGGCAGAGACUGCUGACUACUUGGGCUUUUGAGUUUUUCUUCCCCUUUUUACGUGCCAUGUGGGGCAGGGGGCGGGAGGAGGUGGGGUGCCCUUUAGGCCACCAGGUUUUGUUUUUGUUUUUUGAGACAGAGUCUCGCUCUGUUGCCCAGGCUGGAGUGCAAUGGCGUGAUCUUGGCUCACUGCAACCUCCACUUCCCGGGUUCAAGCGAUUCUCUUGCCUCAGCCUCCUGAGUAGCUGGGACUACAGGUGCGUGCCACCAUGCCCGGCUAAUUUUUUUUGUGUGUGUGUGUUUUUAGUAGAGAUGGGGUUUCACCGUGUUAGCCAGGAUGGU